Molecule: transfer RNA, 92 nt
Filed under: Xanthomonas sp. SI
Lineage: Bacteria; Pseudomonadati; Pseudomonadota; Gammaproteobacteria; Lysobacterales; Lysobacteraceae
Description: tRNA-Arg
Source: RNAcentral
GCGCAGCUGGCCAAGCCGCCGCCGCGCGCGGCGCUACGGCCGACGCAAAAGCGCAGCCUGGUGCGCGAGGCGAUCGUACGCCUGCUGCACAC